UCUCCGUUGGUGAACCAGCGGAGGGAUCAUUACCGAGUUUACAACUCCCAAACCCCUGUGAACAUACCAUUUGUUGCCUCGGCGGUGCCUGCUUCGGCAGCCCGCCAGAGGACCCAAACCCUUGAUUUUAUACAGUAUCUCCUGAGUAAAUGAUUAAAUAAAUCAAAACUUUCAACAACGGAUCUCUGGGUUCUG
This 195-nucleotide unclassified non-coding RNA is filed under the name plant metagenome. Its description in RNAcentral is "partial contains small subunit ribosomal RNA, internal transcribed spacer 1, and 5.8S ribosomal RNA". The record is from RNAcentral.